Molecule: ribosomal RNA, 478 nt
Filed under: Heyndrickxia oleronia
Lineage: Bacteria; Bacillati; Bacillota; Bacilli; Caryophanales; Bacillaceae
Description: bacterial SSU rRNA
Rfam family: Bacterial small subunit ribosomal RNA
Source: RNAcentral
AGAGUUUGAUCCUGGCUCAGGACGAACGCUGGCGGCGUGCCUAAUACAUGCAAGUCGAGCGAAUUUGAUGGGAGCUUGCUCCCUGAUGAUUAGCGGCGGACGGGUGAGUAACACGUGGGUAACCUGCCUGUAAGACUGGGAUAACUCCGGGAAACCGGGGCUAAUACCGGAUAACUUUUUUCUUCGCAUGAAGGAAAAUUGAAAGAUGGCUUCGGCUAUCACUUACAGAUGGACCCGCGGCGCAUUAGCUAGUUGGUGAGGUAACGGCUCACCAAGGCGACGAUGCGUAGCCGACUUGAGAGGGUGAUCGGCCACACUGGGACUGAGACACGGCCCAGACUCCUACGGGAGGCAGCAGUAGGGAAUCUUCCGCAAUGGACGAAAGUCUGACGGAGCAACGCCGCGUGAGUGAUGAAGGUUUUCGGAUCGUAAAACUCUGUUGUUAGGGAAGAACAAGUAUCGUUCGAAUAGGGCGGUA